GCGCGAAAACUUUACAAUGCUGGCAACAGCGAUAAGGGGACCUCGAGUGCCAGGUUACAAAUCUGGCUGUCGAGAUGCCUGAAAAGCAUUGCAUAGCAAGGGCCGGGCAAGACCGGUGCCAGCCGCCGCGGUAACACCGGCGGCUCGAGUGGUAACCGUUAUUAUUGGGUCUAAAGGGUCUGUAGCCGGCCGGGUAAGUCUCUUGGGAAAUCCAGCAGCUUAACUGUUGGGCUUUCAGGAGAUACUGCCUGGCUCGAGGCCGGGAGAGGUGAGAGGUACUUCAGGGGUAGGGGUGAAAUCUUGUAAUCCUUGAAGGACCACCAGUGGCGAAGGCGUCUCACCAGAACGGACCUGACGGCAAGGGACGAAAGCUAGGGGCACGAACC
Molecule: ribosomal RNA, 386 nt
Filed under: uncultured prokaryote
Description: bacterial SSU rRNA
Rfam family: Archaeal small subunit ribosomal RNA
Source: RNAcentral